RNAcentral lists this ribosomal RNA (205 nucleotides) under uncultured bacterium. Its description in RNAcentral is "partial 16S ribosomal RNA". It matches the Rfam family "Bacterial small subunit ribosomal RNA", at positions 568 to 774 of the family's 1533-position model. The record is from RNAcentral.
UGCGUAGGCGGCCUGACAAGUCAGAAGUGAAAGGCUACGGCUCAACCGUGGUAAGCUUUUGAAACUGUCAGGCUUGAGUGCAGGAGAGGAGAGCGGAAUUCCUGGUGUGCGGUGAAAUGCGUAGAUAUCAGGAAGAACACCAGUAGCGAAGGCGGCUCUCUGGACUGAAACUGACGCUGAGGCACGAAAGCGUGGGGAGCGAACA